Zalophus californianus (California sea lion) is the source of this 2657-nucleotide RNA transcript. It is a transcript of the gene named small ubiquitin like modifier 2, with no coding region annotated. The transcript is spliced from 4 exons. Lineage: Eukaryota; Metazoa; Chordata; Mammalia; Carnivora; Otariidae. The record is from RefSeq and is a predicted model, not a curated record.
AGUUCCCUCCACCCCGGGCCUCCCCCUCAGGGAUGGGGGGCUGCGGGCAUCUGGGGACCCCUGCCCCGCGCCGCGCUGGCCUGGCCAGGGCUCGAAGAGAAUCAAUGGGCUGCCGAUGGGUUCCCCAUCGGGCCGUCGUGAGGGCCCGGGGUUCGGGGAUUCCCGGGGAGUAUUUCCCACUUUCCUGGCUUCGGGGUCCCCAGGGGGCUGGGCAGGGGCUUUUCCCUGGGUGCCAGAUCACCCCUAACCUGCGGAGACCAUGCGGUUUCGAGAAGUUGGAGGCAGAGGUGCGAGCAGAAAGACUUGGAAGGAGUCAAGACUGAGAACAACGAUCAUAUUAAUUUGAAGGUGGCGGGGCAGGAUGGUUCUGUGGUGCAGUUUAAGAUUAAGAGGCAUACACCACUUAGUAAACUAAUGAAAGCCUAUUGUGAACGACAGGGUUUGUCAAUGAGGCAGAUCAGAUUCCGAUUUGAUGGGCAGCCAAUCAAUGAAACAGACACACCUGCACAGUUGGAAAUGGAGGAUGAAGAUACAAUUGAUGUGUUCCAGCAGCAGACAGGAGGUAUCUACUAAAAAGGGAACCUGCUACUUUACUCCAGAACUCUGUUCCUCCAGACCAAGAAGACAUUCUCAAUUAGAAGGCCGCAAUUUGGUUCCACCACAUCCUGACUACUACAGUAUAGUUUUCUCUAUUCUUUCAUUUUCCCCUUCCCCAUUCCUUUAUUGUACAUAAAGUAACUGUGUAUGUGCACAAGCAUAUUGCAUUUUUUUUUUUUUAACUAAAUGGCCAAUGGUAUGUUUUGAUCGACAUCAAAUGGAGAUGGGAUGGGGGAAAAUACUGCUUCUGUGAAAAUACCCUCUCUCUCCAUUAGUGGCAUGCUCAGUCAGCUCUUAUCUUUAUAUUCCAGUAAGUUAUUUUGCUCUCACUGUUUAACAAAAAAAGAACAACAUAAAAAUCCUUGCAUACCUUGUUCGAUUGGAGAAUUUUAAUGUUUUUCAUUUAUCAUUGUAAAACCAAGGACAAUUUUAUAACUUUUUUGUACGUAGCUGUUACAUGUAGGGCAAUCUGUCUUUAAGUAGGGAUAAAUUACUCUAAAAGAAAUGAAUCCUAGAUAGUUUUCCCUUCAAGUCAAGCGUCUUGUUGUUUAAAUAAACUUCUUGUUUAAAAUGAGCUGUUUUCUUUAUUCUGAAGAAUAUUGAGAAGCUUAGAAAAAACCAUGAAGUGAGUAGGCUGCUAGAAGUAACAUUUCAAGGAAGAAAUAAAGCUACAGUGCAUUCCUGACAGACUGAUACAAAACAAAGAAUAACAAAGUUUAUAAAUGACUAGCAACUGAUGUUUCAGCCUCUUUGUUUAAAAAGCUUAGGUUGUUUCAAAUAUGCAACUUUGCUAGCAAAAAAAAUUGGGUCAUAAUGUUGUGGAUUUGCUCCCAAGUAUUCUCUGUAACCACUACCUGGCAGAAUGAGUCAGUUCUCUCAGCUAAGAGAAAGUCCAGUUUGCUAAGUCUGCUGAUAAAUCACUCAACCAUUCUGGCCUCCUUUGAUGAAUAAAUAUUCCCUAACCCAAAAUAGAGUCUUUGUUCCUUGAGGAUGUUGAAGGACAGAAAAUAUUUAUCCACAUAUAUCCACUCUUAACAGCCUUAAAUAUGCAGGGCACCAUAGUUUUUAAGUUCAAAUGUAUGGGGAAGGGUAACAGCUCUAGAACUAGUAAACAUUAUUUUAGCUGGAAAGAUUUAGAUUACCUAAUUUUAACCCGUUUUAGAGAUGAGGAAGCUGAGUUCCUGAGGGUUGUUACUUGUCACACAGCUGGAGGAUUAUGAAACUAGGACUAGAGAAUAGGUCUGAUCCCUGUUAAUUCAGUUCUUCCAUAUUGGUUCUCAAGAAACUGAAUUUCCACUCCUCUUAUUCACCAAUGUGGCCUUUUGGAAUCAAGUCCCCAUGUACUAUCAUGCCUUGUCAUUCACUUAGUUCCUUCUGUUGCAAUAUGGUCUUUUUCUUUACAUCCCCCAUUUUUAUGGUGAACGAGCUUCCCCAGACAGCAGGUUUUCUGUAGGUUUUUUAAGUUUUAUUUAAUCUCUGCACCCAAUGUGGGGCUUGAACUCAUGACCUAAGAUCAAGAGUCGCAUGCUCUUCUGACAGCCAACCAGGCACGCCUGUUUCAUAGUUUUUUCAGUCUGUAUAUAUGAGUUAAUAUUGAACCAACUUUUAUUCCUGUAUGUUACCAAUCUCCGUUUACAAUUUAUAUUGUGAAACUGUGGGAAGCCUGCCCCCCAAAAAUCUUAGGUAAGUGUGUAUCUCGAGUUGUUGCAGUAGGUACUGUUGAAUGGUGGAAUUUGGUGGUGCCCUAAAAAUUAGGAUGAAAUUCAAGCCAGAGAAUUUUAUUAUGUAAAGGAUCUUGAAUUGGGUUCUUGUUUAAUUAGGAAUUACUAAUGUCUGAGCUUUUGCCAUGUUGGGGGGAAUAUAAACUUGAUAGCAGAAAAACCGGAUGGAAUUUUAAAAGCCAGAGGGAAAAGCUUGGAAAGGGCACUGUUUGGUAAUACGGUGUGUUGUAGCUUAUUGAUAGUUGGGUCAGUGUAUAACUACCACUGUUAAACUGUUCUUCAUUGUUCUCCCCCUAUUUCACAUAUGUUGCUAUCAUAAAGACCUUUUCUAUGCAAAAA